AAUGUAGGAAAGAGUGGGCAACAGUGGGUCUGUAUGUCCCCAAUCUCCUGGGCUACACGCGGGGUACAAUGGGUAGGAGAAUGGGUUUCAACACCGAAAGGGGAAGGUAAUCUCCUAAACCCAUUCUCAUUUCUGAUUGAGGGGUGUAACCCUCCCUCAUGAAAAUGGAAUGCGUAUUAAUCUCGUGUCAUAAAAGCGCGGUGAAUACAUCCCUGCGCCUUGCACAAAAGCUUUAGUCU
This 239-nucleotide ribosomal RNA is filed under the name uncultured archaeon. RNAcentral describes it as "partial 16S ribosomal RNA". It matches the Rfam family "Archaeal small subunit ribosomal RNA", at positions 1118 to 1343 of the family's 1478-position model. The record is from RNAcentral.